AGAAAUUUACCAAUGGAAUUUAAUAAGAUAAUAACAGAGAGUUCAAAACAUCUCAAUUUAUUACGAUCAGAUAGAUCAAAAGCAGACAUACAUAUCUGGUAGAACAGAUGAAAGAGAUACAACUACAGCCACAGCUUGGAGAUAGCAUCUCCAAUAUUUAUUACAAUGCGGUAGAUAAGUAGACAUCCAAAGCUAAUUUGGAAU
RNAcentral lists this long non-coding RNA (204 nucleotides) under Phoenix dactylifera (date palm). RNAcentral describes it as "long non-coding RNA (PDAC_LNC023135)". The record is from RNAcentral. Lineage: Eukaryota; Viridiplantae; Streptophyta; Magnoliopsida; Arecales; Arecaceae.